UUAAGCAUAUCACUGAGCGCAGGAGAAGAAACUAACCAGGAUUUCCCUAGUAACGGCGAGCGAACCGGAAAGAGCCCAGCUUGAAAAUCGUGGCGCCCCGGCGCCUCGAAUUGUAGUCUGGAGAAGGUCCCUCUGCGGCGCGCCGGAUUCAAGUUCCCUGGAAUGGGACGUCCGAGAGGGUGAGAACCCCGUCGUAUCCGGAGUGCGUCGCUCCACGAGGACCUGUCUGCGAGUCGGGCUGUUUGGGAAUGCAGCCCUAAGCGGGUGGUAAAUUCCAUCCAAGGCUAAAUAUUGGCAAGAGACCGAUAGCGAACAAGUACCGCGAGGGAAAGAUGAAAAGGACUUUGAAAAGAGAGUUAAAAAGUGCUUGAAAUUGCUGGGAGGGAAGCGAAUGGAAGCUGCGGGUGCGCCCCGGUUGAAUGUGGAACGGCCGUCAAACGCUGGUCCGCCGCUCAACGCGGGGCGCUGGUCAGCGUGGGCCAUCGCGGCGGGACAAGAGCGGGGAUUCGCUUCCCGCCGAUGCCGCCGCGGUGGCCGAGGAACGAAGCGCGCGCCUUCCGGCGUGGGACUCGUCCCAACUGCGCGCUCGAGACGCUGGCGUAUUGAGCUCUUCAUCCGACCCGUCUUGAAACACGGACCAAGGAGUCUAACAUGUAUGCGAGCCGGUGGGCGGCAAACCCAUUGAGGCGCAAGUAACCUGACAGGUGGGACCCCGCUUGCGGGAGCACCAUCGACCGACCGUGAUCUUCUGUGAAGGGUUC
Molecule: ribosomal RNA, 761 nt
Filed under: Orthotrichum stellatum
Lineage: Eukaryota; Viridiplantae; Streptophyta; Bryopsida; Orthotrichales; Orthotrichaceae
Description: partial 26S ribosomal RNA
Rfam family: Eukaryotic large subunit ribosomal RNA
Source: RNAcentral